RNAcentral lists this transfer RNA (96 nucleotides) under Eutypa lata UCREL1. It matches the Rfam family "tRNA". From Rfam's summary of the family: Transfer RNA (tRNA) molecules are approximately 80 nucleotides in length. Lineage: Eukaryota; Fungi; Ascomycota; Sordariomycetes; Xylariales; Diatrypaceae. The record is from Rfam by way of RNAcentral.
GGGCGCUUGGUCUAGGGGUAUGAUUUUCGCUUCGCAUCAUUCUACGAAUACAUGCGCUUAUGUGAAAGGUCGUGGGUUCAAUUCCCACAGCGUCCA